Molecule: ribosomal RNA, 495 nt
Filed under: uncultured bacterium
Lineage: Bacteria
Description: partial 16S ribosomal RNA
Rfam family: Bacterial small subunit ribosomal RNA
Source: RNAcentral
GACGAACGCUGGCGGCGUGCCUAAUACAUGCAAGUAGAACGCUGAAGGAGGAGCUUGCUUCUCUGGAUGAGUUGCGAACGGGUGAGUAACGCGUAGGUAACCUGCCUGGUAGCGGGGGAUAACUAUUGGAAACGAUAGCUAAUACCGCAUAAUAGUAGAUGUUGCAUGACAUUUGCUUAAAAGGUGCAAUUGCAUCUCUACCAGAUGGACCUGCGUUGUAUUAGCUAGUUGGUGAGGUAACGGCUCACCAAGGCGACGAUACAUAGCCGACCUGAGAGGGUGAUCGGCCACACUGGGACUGGGACACGGCCCAGACUCCUACGGGAGGCAGCAGUAGGGAAUCUUCGGCAAUGGACGGAAGUCUGACCGAGCAACGCCGCGUGAGUGAAGAAGGGUGUCGGAUCGUAAAGCUCUGUUGUAAGAGAAGAACGAGUGUGAGAGUGGAAAGUUCACACUGUGACGGUAUCUUACCAGAAAGGGACGGCUAACUACGUG